AUAUAUUAUUUUUUUAAAAGAAAAAUAAAAACAGUAAAGAUAUUAUUUUUAAUUUUCGUUUUUUUUUAAUUUUUUUUAAUUUUUUUUUAAUUUUUUUUAAUAGUUAGAAAAAUAAAAACAGAAAAAUAAAAACGGAAAGAUAAAAACACCCAUCAGUAGGUGUUGAUUCUCUUUGCCUGAUAUUCUUUUCUUUUUCUUCUUCUUGCUGAAUAUUUUUAGAAAAUUGAGAACACCAAGCACCUGUUUCCAUAUAUCAAUCAUAGGAACUUUAAUCUCCAAUUUCUUGAAGAUCUCCAUAAAGCACUUAAACUUCUUUUCCUUCCUAUGAUCUUUCUUUUGAUGAGGAAGAGGUUUUGCAUAUAACCUUUUCUUCUUUCCUCUCUUCCUCUUUUUCUCAAUCUUUUCCUCCCUCAACUUUCUUUUUUUAUUUUUCCUUGAUUUCUUCUUUUUUAUUUUUGCACUUUUUUUCUUUUUUUCUUUUCUCUCAACCACUUCUUUUUCUCUCUCCUCAUAUUUCUCUCCCUUACUCAAUUUUUCUGUUUCUUCCUCCUCUAUCUUUUCCUCCUCUAUCUUCUCCUCAUCAACAACCUUAUCAAUUUGUGUCUCCAAAUUCCUGAAGGUAACUUCAUAGCUCUUGAAAUCGUUCUUCUUCAAAAAUUUGUCGAACUUUUCAUUAAAGCUUUUGACUUGUUCCGUCAAAUCAACUAUCUGAUGAUAUAG
Molecule: long non-coding RNA, 720 nt
Filed under: Vigna radiata
Lineage: Eukaryota; Viridiplantae; Streptophyta; Magnoliopsida; Fabales; Fabaceae
Description: long non-coding RNA (VRAD_LNC016026)
Source: RNAcentral